Mustela lutreola (European mink) is the source of this 2927-nucleotide long non-coding RNA. RefSeq lists it as uncharacterized. The record is from RefSeq and is a predicted model, not a curated record. The transcript has 4 exons. NCBI's taxonomy places the organism in Eukaryota, Metazoa, Chordata, Mammalia, Carnivora, Mustelidae.
CUGGGAGGCACUGGCUUGGGGUGGGGAGCGGGAGGGUUGGGCAAGGGGAGACCGAGGAAAAGGCAACCGCUCCAGAAAAAUGACAUCAGUCAUGGCCAGGAGGAAGACUACACAGAGAUGUUUAGAAGACUGAACAGCGACUUGUAAAGAUACUGAAGGGGACGAGGGCUUCGGAGGGCUGGGACCAGCGACUGGCAAGACAGAGAGAGAUCACAAGUAGGCAGAGAGGCAGAGAGGAGGAAGCAGGCGCCCUGCCGAGCAGAGAGCCCAAUGCAGGACUCGAUUCCAGGACCCUGAGAUCACGACCGGAGCUGAAGGCAGAGGCUUAACCCACUGAGCCACCCAGGCAUCCUAGGACUUGUGUUUUCUUGUAGUGUGCGUUCGGUUUCCAGUGAACACAGGAAACUCACCGGGACUCUACGCCCAAGACUCCGUGUUGAAGCUGCAGUUUUGAACGACGAUGUUGCUUCUCUGUUUCUGGAGAGCUCAAAAGCCAUUGCUUGGGAGAAGAACCCCUUAAGACCCACACUAGAAAGGCCAACAUCCUCGCAUCACAGAGAAGGUAAAAACAAUGUAAGAACUACCUGGAGUACAAAUGCUGUAUGUGGUAAAAUAGGAUCAGGCCUCCUGGAAUACAGACCUUUGUAAUAGUGGUUCUCAAAACUGGAUGCACAUUAGGUUCACCUGAGAAGUUUUACAAAUCCUGACACCCAGACCAAUUAUGUUAGAACCUCUGGCUGUGGGACCCCUACAUUGGUAUUUUUAAAAACUCUCCAAAUGACUUUAAGGGGCAGCUACCUUGGAGAGCGACAGUUCUGUGGCCUUGACCCUAUAGUGUGUUUCCCGGAUGGGCAACAUUAGCAUCAUCUGGUGGUUUUUUAGAAAUGAAAAAUCUCAGUUUCUACCCUGACCAGUAAAUCAGAUUCUACAUUUUAACAAGAUCACAAACUGAUUUGUAUGCACAGUAAACUUCGAAGACCAGCUUUCCUAUUUAAAAUGUAAAAGAAAUAACUCUCUGCUGAUACAGAUAAUUUUUUAAUAUAUUGAAAAUAAAAGCAGGAGAUCAAAAUUAUCCAGAAUCUCACCAUUGUUAUUUUCUGCAUAUCUCUAUAAAUAACACUAUUAUACAUGUGCUUUGUAUUUUAUGUACAUUAUUCAGGUCAUACUUUUUAUAUAGUUUCAUGCCCUGUCUUUUUUUUUUUUCAUGCCUUGUCUUUUAGUUAUUUAUUUUAGUCGUUACUGUACCACAGAACAUGAUUUUGUGAAAAGUUUUUCAUGAUGGAUUGAAAAACUUUUGGUAGAAAGUCCUACAUUGUGUUUAUUAGUCACAUGUAAUAAAGAUCAAUCAGAAUUUAAAAUUUACUUUUAACACUCUAUUUGAAGUCACCAGUAUUACAAUAUAUUUAAAAAAUCCCACUCAUAUCUGAUCCUAGUGGGACAUGCUACUGGUCUAAGCCUCUUGCUUAAGACAACAAAAAUGCAGUGAGGACAAGUCUUCCAUGAUCAGUCUAAGACAAAGUAGCCUUAUCCUGCAAAUAACCAUCAUGGCAAAAUAAUUUCCAUUUGUUAUGUUUUGUUAUUCCCAGGUGUCUUCAUGUUUCCAAAAAUUCUUCAAUGCACACAUAAAGUUUGUUCUAAAAAUCACUGUUAAUGCUUCUGGAAGGAAGGUGAAGGGGGUUAAUAUGAAGCAGUUGUGGUAAAAAGAGAGUUUUAUCAAAUCGGCCUUUCUAUUUUUAUGGGCUGUUGAAUUUUAUGGGCUUAUAAUAUGUAUCUGAGGAAUUAUGAAGUGAAAGAAAAUUGUUUGAAUAACACUUUAGACUGGCUGUCACUGUUUCUUUGUGCUGAGGUGAAUGCAGACUCAGGACUGGUGACUUGAUCAAUGAGAUAAAGGGCCAAAAAAAAAAAAAAAAAGAGAGAGAGAGAGAGAGAGAGAAAGGGCCAGAGGAUCACAGGAUUUGGGGAAAGACCAUCCAGGUUGUUGCCUGUUGCCGCGGAGUAAUUUUAUAUAUUCUCUUUCACCUUUAAGAAUGUGUUGAUUUAGAAAUAAAAGUAUUUGCUGGGGAGCCUGGGUGGCUCAGUCGGUUAAGCGACUGCCUUCAGCUCAGGUCAUGAUCCCAGAGUCCUGGGAUCGAGCCCCGAGUCAGGCCCUCUGCUCAGUGGGGAGCCGGCUUCUCCCUCUCCCUCUGCUGCUCUGCCUGCUUGUGUUUCUCACUCUCUCUGUCAAAUAAAUAAAUAAAAUCUUAAAAAAAAAAAAAAAAAGGAAAUAAAAGUAUUUGCACACACAACACACCAAAACCAACUUUAUCAUUUUAUAGAGGGAAUUCUGAAGGGAUCCACUGUAUUAUUCCUUGCUCAAAAAACCAAACAAAAAGUCCCAACUAACCAACCAACCCAACAAAGAAAACAAACCAUAACAACCACAAAGGAAACUUUUAAUGGCUCUUUACUGUCUAUGGAUCAAGCUCAAGCGCUUUAGGGAAGAACUCAGCGGCUUCUGUGUUCUGGGCCCUGUUUACCUCUCUGGUCUUCCCCGUCUUUCUCUCUCACUUUUGCUCCUUUCACCCCUCGUUCUCGCUUUCUGUCAUAUAUUUACAUGUACAAACUGAGCUGGUUAGUAGAGAGACACCUAGGAAACGGACUUAGUGUAAGUCAUGCCAUUUUUAUAAAAAGUGGGCAUUUUGUAACACAGUCAUGUUACUAUACCCAUGUCAUUGCAACCUUAACUAAAAAACCGCAAAAUACUCCAGACAUAACAAUUUCAGGAAAUGUACCCCUACCCUAAAUGUCUGCUUCACCCAGCAUUUUUGCUUCUGUACUGCGAUUGGCAAUUUUAGAAACUGGCAACAGAAUGUGGUUUAUGUCUUUAUAAGUGUACCCUUGAGCUCAUUCGGGGCUACGAGAUUUUGGAGUGCAUGAGUCCCCUCACA